This 483-nucleotide ribosomal RNA is filed under the name uncultured bacterium. Its description in RNAcentral is "partial 16S ribosomal RNA". It matches the Rfam family "Bacterial small subunit ribosomal RNA", at positions 28 to 507 of the family's 1533-position model. The record is from RNAcentral.
GAUGAACGCUGGCGGCGUGCCUAACACAUGCAAGUCGAACGAAGCUUGACGGAUGAUUUCUUCGGAAUGAAACCAGAUAUGACUUAGUGGCGGACGGGUGAGUAACACGUGAGCAACCUGCCUUUCAGAGGGGGAUAACGUCUGGAAACGGUCGCUAAUACCGCAUGAUGUGUUCGGAUGGCAUCAUCUGAACAUCAAAGAUUUAUCGCUGAAAGAUGGGCUCGCGUCUGAUUAGAUAGUUGGUGGGGUAACGGCCUACCAAGUCUACGAUCAGUAGCCGGACUGAGAGGUUGAACGGCCACAUUGGGACUGAGAUACGGCCCAGACUCCUACGGGAGGCAGCAGGGGGGAAUAUUGCACAAUGGGGGAAACCCUGAUGCAGCAACGCCGCGUGAAGGAUGACGGUUUUCGAAUUGUAAACUUCUUUUCUUAGUGACGAAGACAGUGACGGUAGCUAAGGAAUAAGCAUCGGCUAACUACGUG